RNAcentral lists this ribosomal RNA (773 nucleotides) under uncultured Neocallimastigales. RNAcentral's name for it is "partial large subunit ribosomal RNA". It matches the Rfam family "Eukaryotic large subunit ribosomal RNA", at positions 22 to 639 of the family's 3401-position model. Lineage: Eukaryota; Fungi; Neocallimastigomycota; Neocallimastigomycetes; Neocallimastigales. The record is from RNAcentral.
GUACACGCGUGACUAGCAUAUCAAUAAGCGGAGGAAAAGUAACUAACAAGGAUUCCCCUAGUAACGGCGAGUGAAGCGGGAAGAGCUCAAAUUUGAAAUCUUAAAGGGUUUCCCUUUACGAAUUGUAGUUUAAAGAAGUGUUUUCUGUUGAGGUUUUGGUAAAAGUUCUUUGGAAUAGGACAUCAUAGAGGGUGAGAAUCCCGUAUUUGACCUUUACUUUCAACUUUGUGAUACACUUUCAAAGAGUCGGAUUGUUUGGGAAUGCAGUCCAAAAUGGGUGGUAAAUUUCAUCUAAAGCUAAAUAUUGGCGAGAGACCGAUAGCGAACAAGUACCGUGAGGGAAAGAUGAAAAGAACUUUGAAAAGAGAGUUAAACAAUACGUGAAAUUGUCAAAAGGGAAGCGUUUGACACCAGUGUUGUUUUUCUGAAAAUCAAUUAAAGAACUGUUCAUGCUAAGCUGUUUAGACUUUAUCAGCUAACUGUUUAGUUUUGAGCUUUUCUUUAAUGCACUUUUCAGUUAACAAGUCAACAUCAAUUUCUUUUGCUGUAAAAAAGCUUGAGGAAGGUGGCUUGAGAUUCGUCUUAAGUGUUUAUAGCCUCUUGCCUAUGCAGUCGGAGAGAUUGAGGUCUGCAGCGUAGAUCCUUCGGGGCUAAAUGCAUUUGUGCUAAGUUAUAGCAUUUUAUAGACAACUUGUUGACUAUGAUUUGUCUUGUAGCUUACUCGCUUAUGUUAUUUUACCUACGCUUAGGAUGUUGAAGAUGUAGCACAUCAU